Molecule: ribosomal RNA, 253 nt
Filed under: uncultured bacterium
Lineage: Bacteria
Description: partial 16S ribosomal RNA
Rfam family: Bacterial small subunit ribosomal RNA
Source: RNAcentral
UACGUAGGGUCCGAGCGUUGUCCGGAAUUACUGGGCGUAAAGAGCUCGUAGGUGGUUUGUCGCGUUGUUCGUGAAAACUCACAGCUUAACUGUGGGCGUGCGGGCGAUACGGGCAGACUUGAGUACUGCAGGGGAGACUGGAAUUCCUGGUGUAGCGGUGGAAUGCGCAGAUAUCAGGAGGAACACCGAUGGCGAAGGCAGGUCUCUGGGCAUUAACUGACGCUGAGGAGCGAAAGCAUGGGGAGCGAACAGG